CAGUGGCGGAGCCGGGGGGUGGCUUACUGGGCUUAAGCCCGGGUUGUUUUGUCAGAAGCCCGGGGUCUUUUGGAGUGUAAUUUUUUCAUAGUUAGAUGUCUGGCUGACACUGUAUAAAACAAAAACUACACACAAUAUUCGAAGCACAUAGUGCACACUGUAGGAAUUUACGACUGUGCGUAAAUCCCCCCUAAUAUUGGUAUGAUCCGAGCUCAGACACUAAGCGGGGCAGCUGCUGCGCUGUUAGAGAAACGCAGCCAGGCAGACAGAGGAGAACUGAAGUUCGACCAGGCUAGCUGUGCACUGAAAGAGAGAGGCCCCAGACUGGAAGGUUAAUGCGAGAUGGCAAGUGUGAUGCGGCGACCAAGUCCUGACCUCAUGGAACGGCAACAGACACCGACGCAAGGGGAGCUGUGGCGGUGGUCACAUCAUGGAUUCGGGUGCAGAACGCAAGCCGGGCUGGGAAGCGAUGGGCCAGCGGAAGGACAAGAAGAUGGGUGGCUCUUUCUUCUCUGCUGAAGACGGGGCUGGCGUGGACUCUGCUCUAAAGGAGGAAUUCCUGGCCUGCUGAUGGACCCAUAAUGAACAUGUGGCCUAAUUAUAGCAGGGGGGUUUUUAGUGAAUGUAGAAAAUGGUAGUUUUACGGGUUUUAGAAUUGUUUUUAGUAGAGGGCAAACAUUUUAUUACAUACAUUUUAAGGGUGUUUUUAUUUGUGCUCCCUGGCCUAGUAAUAAACUGUUUCUGAUCAGACCUGCUUCCUCUCUGUGCCCGUGGUAUCUGACUCGCUUGCUCCCCCUUGUAUUUUAAAGAAUCUUUCUUUUUAGCGUGGCAUUCUGGCGCGACCGCUUUAGUGUAUCCGCCGCGCGCUACAGUUAUUUAUUUUGUUUGUUUUUGUUUGUUUGCUUCUUGCUUUUGGUUGUUGCAUCUCCGUAUUUGCUG
Molecule: long non-coding RNA, 939 nt
Organism: Astatotilapia calliptera (eastern happy)
Lineage: Eukaryota; Metazoa; Chordata; Actinopteri; Cichliformes; Cichlidae
Source: Ensembl